AUGGUCUCCCCUCCAUAUUUCUCCACCAUGUCUGAGCUGCCUUCUUGCCCUGGAAGAUCGAUUCCUCCACCCCUGUGGCCACCUCCUGCCACUGAUAAGUUCCUUCUCAUGAGGAGAUGCCCAGACCAGUCAAGGGAAAAAUCUGCUGGUUUCCAAGUAUUUCUUUUAGUGGGGAAGAGAGCCACAGUAAGCAUGGUGAUUUCUCCAGUAAAGCAUGUGUGCUCUGUUGCUAUCCGUGCCAAGGGGAUGUUCUCUGGAGGUCCAGGAGCUGACCACCUUCUCAUUUCUCACCCCAGGUAUGGUAAGAGCCUGCGUCCGAUGCUGUUUCAGGCUGUAGCUUGUAUGUGGUAAAGAUACAUAAGUAUUUAGUAUUCACAAAGUCCAUUUCUUCCUCAGAAGUAGUCCUUGGAUGCCUCAUUAUAGCACGGAGUCUAUCCUGGGGUUACCAAGGCUAGGCCAGUGAAGCAUAGAUCCAGAAGACCCCAUGAGAUGAAAAUGUUGGUCCUGAUAUGCCCAGGAGUUCACUGCUAAAAGGAAAAC
Molecule: long non-coding RNA, 540 nt
Filed under: Monodelphis domestica (gray short-tailed opossum)
Lineage: Eukaryota; Metazoa; Chordata; Mammalia; Didelphimorphia; Didelphidae
Description: lncRNA (ENSMODG00000049534.1)
Source: RNAcentral